Molecule: ribosomal RNA, 460 nt
Filed under: uncultured bacterium
Lineage: Bacteria
Description: partial 16S ribosomal RNA
Rfam family: Bacterial small subunit ribosomal RNA
Source: RNAcentral
CCUACGGGAGGCAGCAGUGAGGAAUAUUGGUCAAUGGACGAGAGUCUGAACCAGCCAAGUAGCGUGAAGGAUGACUGCCCUAUGGGUUGUAAACUUCUUUUAUAUGGGAAUAAAAUGUUCCACGUGUGGGAUUUUGUAUGUCCCAUAUGAAUAAGGAUCGGCUAACGCCGUGCCAGCAGCCGCGGUAAUACGGAGGUUCCGAGCGUUAUCCGGAUUUAUUGGGUUUAAAGGGAGCGUAGGUGGAUUGUUAAGUCAGUUGUGAAAGGUUGCGGCUCAACCGUAAAAUUGCAGUUGAAACUGGCAGUCUUGAGUACAGUAGAGGUGGGCGGAAUUCGUGGUGUAGCGGUGAAAUGCUUAGAUAUCACGAAGAACUCCGAUUGCGAAGGCAGCUCACUGGACUGCAACUGACACUGAGGCUCGAAAGUGUGGGUAUCAAACAGGAUUAGAUACCCGGGUAGUC